RNAcentral lists this ribosomal RNA (207 nucleotides) under uncultured bacterium. RNAcentral describes it as "partial 16S ribosomal RNA". It matches the Rfam family "Bacterial small subunit ribosomal RNA", at positions 568 to 774 of the family's 1533-position model. The record is from RNAcentral.
AGCGCAGGCGGGAAGACAAGUUGGAAGUGAAAUCUAUGGGCUCAACUCAUAAACUGCUUUCAAAACUGUUUUUCUUGAGUAGUGCAGAGGUAGGCGGAAUUCCCGGUGUAGCGGUGGAAUGCGUAGAUAUCGGGAGGAACACCAGUGGCGAAGGCGGCCUACUGGGCACCAACUGACGCUGAGGCUCGAAAGUGUGGGUAGCAAACA